This 225-nucleotide ribosomal RNA is filed under the name uncultured bacterium. Its description in RNAcentral is "partial 16S ribosomal RNA". It matches the Rfam family "Bacterial small subunit ribosomal RNA", at positions 109 to 334 of the family's 1533-position model. The record is from RNAcentral.
CGGAACACGUACAGAACCUUCCUUUAAGCGGGGGAUAGCCCGGAGAAAUCCGGAUUAAUACCUCAUAGUAUUACUGGGUGGCAUCACCUGGUAAUUAAAGAUUUAUCACUUAGAGAUGGCUGUGCGGCUGAUUAGGUAGUUGGUGAGGUAAAGGCUCACCAAGCCAUCGAUCAGUAACUGGUGUGAGAGCACGACCAGUCACACGGGCACUGAGACACGGGCCCG